GAAGGUCAGAUACAGUGCGCGGUUCUUAGAGAAUUAACAGGUGCGUUAAAGCCGAAUCUGACGCCUUGCCUGCUUCCAAUAUAACUAAACUUCACGGGAGAUAACCCCCAAUCUGCAAUCAUCCUGACUUGUUCUGAUUGUCAAAAUAAUAACUCCUUGACUAUUUCCUUGGACUCCCCUCAAGAUAAUUUCAUCCUGAAUAUUUGCCCUGUGGGUGUCUAUAGGUCACGACCUUUCUCCCCUGAGGAAGGAAAAGAUGAGGCCCUGUUUCAUCCAUCUGAAUUUUAAGUUGCCUGAGGUAUUCCUUCAUACUUGGCAUUUUCCUAGCAUCUGUGACCUACAUCAUCUGUUUACAGCAGCUGCCCAGCACAGAAGUCAAGAACCAAGAGAAGAAGAGAGAUCGAGAAGGCCGACCUCCUCCAUGAGCCACCAGAGUCCACGUGGGACCCGCAGGCUCCUGUUCUGCAUGGGUUGCCCCUGCAGCACCGGCCCCAGCAAAGCCGAACAGGUGAAGCCGGCCACCUGCCUCGCCCUGGGGUGCCCUGCGCUACCCAAGUGAUACUCUGGGCCUUGCCCCUCGCCCAGUAUCAUAAAAACUCCCCUACUGCCUUGCCUCAGGGCUCUUCCUUUCUAGUUCUCCCUUGAAGUGACCAUUAGAAGGAUUAGAAUCCUGACCAUUAGACCAUUAGAAUCUUCCCAAGUUAUGUAUCUACACAACAGGGGCCUUCUACAGACAACCAGAGCUCAGGCAGGCUGCAGGAGGCAAUACUCAGGGGUAGGGGACUCUGAAAAUCCUUCUAAAAAAAUUGCUCGCAGCUGACACUCCGUCCUGGUUGGAGGCCACCACUGGGAAGAUGCUCGGAGAGUCGCAGCUUUAUGACCAAGAGGGGUCGCUGCCCCCUCAUCUCCCGUUGCCUUGCACAGCCUAAGUUAAGACACUGAGAGUGGGAAUACAACCCAAACCCUUCUAGUCAAUAUCCCUGUUUAUAAAUCAGGAAAGCAAGGGAAAGAGAGAAAGAGACUUGCCCAAGGCCACGUGGCCGCUGAGGCCUAGGCCCCUCUGGCUCCACUCGCUGCCACCCACGGAGGGCUGCCCUGACACCCACCUGUGCCGCCUUGCGCUCUGGUUUACAGGGCACCUUUCUGGAAGGCAGAGUAAGCUAAAAAUGCCUUGCUGUCAUGACCCCAGCAAAAAGUCACCCUCCCUCCACCCGUCUGAUGGCUACAGUCCCCUUGGUGCCAGGAAAGCCUGCAUUCUCCUCCAUUCAGCAACCCAGCAACUGCUCCGGCUGCCCACACCUCACACCCCAGCCAGACAACUGAGGCCUUGAGUUCUCCCCAAGGGCUGAGAACAUGUCGGGCAGAGUCAGAUGAGGCCCUAUACAUAGGGCUCCUUCCCCCAGCGUCCACGCUGGUCGAAGUCUAAACAUAUGCAAGCAACUAGAAUCCCACGCCUUCCCUUAAAAAGUGGAUCUGAGCUCUGGACACAGCUUUCCUCUUCUUCUGGGAGUCACUGGGCCCAUGUUCCUUCCACAGUGUUCCACCUACCACCGGCAGCAUCCCUUCUGGCCCCAGCGGGGCCACCUGCUCCAGGAAGGCCCCAGGCAUGACUAACAAGAUGCUCUGAAAGCACAGCUGAGUCAGACUCAGCUUCUCAGAGGGAUCUGCUCUCGUCAUCACAGGGAGGGACAACAGCCGCUCAUCACCGGGGCCACAAGGCGCCCUGUCCAGCUGAGCAACAGGAGGGCGGGGCUCGGGUCUUGAAGAGUCUAGAAUCUCAGGGGCAGAUACCUGGAUUGUCUGGGGCAACUGGACAGGCCUAAGGGGACUGUUAGGUCAGGCCCAGGCCCCCCUCCACCCACCUCCGGCAGCUGUGUGAGAAGCCUAGCACUUGUGUACGGGGCAGGGCGUGAGGACACAUUUGGAAAUGCAUUUACAUUCUGGUCUAUUGGUCCGUGGGAGGGAAGAAGGAAUCAAGAACAACCGUCAGGCCAGAGUUUGCCCUGGCCAGCAGCCACUAUACCUGUCUGAUGCUCAGGAUACUCAGUGGCUCUCACCAGUGGUAAGUGGAGAGAACACCCAACUCUGCGAGGCAGAGCUGUGCCUAAAUGCUUGGGGGUGAGCAGUGAGACCGCACGGCCCUAGGCACCCUCCAGUCUCUGGAGUUGCUCUCUGCCCAUCCUGUCCCUUCUGACAGCCUCAUUCUGUGUCUGUCUGUCUGUCUGCCUGGCUGGGUGGUCUGCUCCAUGAGGGCCAGGACUGCCUGUCUCAUUCACAGAGCCCCUACUAUGUAAGAUUUCAAACAUGAAGUGAGAGAGGGGGGAA
Long non-coding RNA from Leopardus geoffroyi (Geoffroy's cat), 2325 nucleotides. RefSeq lists it as uncharacterized. NCBI's taxonomy places the organism in Eukaryota, Metazoa, Chordata, Mammalia, Carnivora, Felidae. The record is from RefSeq and is a predicted model, not a curated record. The transcript has 3 exons.